Molecule: ribosomal RNA, 428 nt
Filed under: uncultured eukaryote
Lineage: Eukaryota
Description: bacterial SSU rRNA
Rfam family: Eukaryotic small subunit ribosomal RNA
Source: RNAcentral
CAAUAGCGUAUAUUAAAGUUGUUGCGGUUAAAAGCUCGUAGUUGGAUUUCUGCUUGGGUGGGCCGAUGUGCCUUCUGGGCUUUAGUCAGCCGGAUUCCAGGUCCUGCAGCAUCUUCUUUGGGUAAUUCGGAUGUCUGCACUUGACUGUGUGGCACGGGUUCCAGGACUUUACUUUGAGGAAAUUAGAGUGUUUCACGCAGGCGUCCGCCUUGAAUACGUUAGCAUGGAAUAAUGCGACAGGACCUCGGUCCAUUUUGUUGGUUUCUUGGGUUGAGGUAAUGAUUAACAGGGAUGGUUGGGGCAUUGCGUAUUUAAUCUGUCAGAGGUGAAAUUCUUGGAUUUGUUAAAGACGAACUACUGCGAAAGCAUUUGCCAAGGAUGUUUUCAUUGAUCAAGAACGAAAGUUAGGGGAUCGAAGAUGAUCAGAU